RNAcentral lists this transfer RNA (66 nucleotides) under Phelsuma laticauda (broad-tailed day gecko). RNAcentral describes it as "tRNA-Gly". The record is from RNAcentral. Lineage: Eukaryota; Metazoa; Chordata; Lepidosauria; Squamata; Gekkonidae.
ACCCCCUUAGUAUAAAGUACAAGUGAUUUCCACUCACUAAGUCUUAGACCGACCUAAGAGGAGGUA